AGUGCUUCGAAUUAUGCAUAAUGUUAAAUAUAGAGAACACACUAAUAAUUUGUUUAUAAAAUCGAAAUUGUUAAAACUAGGAGACAUAGUGAAAUUACAGACUUUAACUAUUAUGUUUAGGGCGAAAAAUAAAACACUACCUCUUAAGUUACAAAGUUUAUUUGUAUUGUGUUCAGAAAAUGGGGACAGCAGAAGGAAGUUUUAUUUUAAGCACCGCUUUGCUUGAACCACACAAAGGCAAAUGUGUCCAACAGUCAUAGGCAUAAGAAACUGGAAUUCUCUCAGUGAUCAUCUUAAGUGUUGUAUAAAUGUUUCUCAAUUUAAAAUCUGCUACAAGAAUAAAAUGAUAAACCGAUAUGAAGAAGUUGAAAAGAAUAGAAUUUAAUUGCAGAAAAAUGAUCCUUUUAGUUUGAUUUUUAGUGGUAUUGCUCAUUGUUGAGUAUAUUGUUCUGUUUGCUUUGUUUUGUUUUAUUAUGUGCAGAAAAUUGUCAUAGUGUAAUUUUGGUUGCCUACUUGUAUUAUCACAGAUAGGGGGCAGGUAUCAAUAAGAAUUUAUUCUUCUUCCUGCUCCUUUUCAUGCAUGGAAACAGUGUUACUUUAAUUGAAAGGAAGGUUGUGUAUGGGAAUGCAUUACUGCUGUACCAUGUGUGAAACAAAAAAAUAAAAUAAAAUAAAAUAAAAUAAAAUAAAAAUAUCCACUAUUCUUCUGCACAUCCACAAACCAUCUCAGCCUUAGCUCUUUGACUUUGUCUCCAGACUGCUCGACCUGAGCCGUCCCUCUGAUGUACUCCUUUCUAGUCCUGUCACUCCCAGUGAAAAGCUUAAAAUCUUCAUCUCUGCAUCCUGUCUUUGUCAGUGCUACAAUCUUCAAACCAGACAUCAUAGCAGUUCUCUCGUUCACAUUGCAAACCCUUCCUUCUGUCACAAAUCAACCCUGACACUCGAUGUUCCUCUGCUCUCCAGAACAUACCUCCACCUCUCCAAGCUCUCUUCCACCUGCUCCCUACUCUCACUACAGAUCACAAACACAUUUCACAGAAACUACCAUCAACCUGUCAUCAGCAUCAACCUAAUCCCUGAUGCAGGCCUUGUCAGGCCUGAUAGGCGAGCAAAACUAGUGAACUCAAAAGCAAAACCAAAAGAGACCGUCCUAAACUUUUUUCAUAAAGACUUAUUUCACACAAAAAGGAAUUCAGACAAUAGAAGACUUGUCUAGAACUCUGGGGAAAUGCACAGGUCUGAUGAGGCACAGCCAGGUGGUCCUACUGGCUGAGGAGCGAGAAAUCCAGAACUCCGCCCCAGGAGGGGCGCAUGAACCGGAUCUUGACAACCCUAACCUUGAACUCAUCUGUCACACUGCAUACCUCAUACAUGCCCUUAUACGUAGAUUAUGAGGAACAACUUUGAAAGAAAAUACAAAAAAACAAAACAAAACCCAACCAUCCCCCCAAUAAUUGUACUCAGUCUGUUUGUAAAUAUAGUAAACAUCUAAGUUGAAUUAAAAAGAAUAUUCUAUAUUUAAAAGAAGACAAAGCAUUUCACGUUAUUUUAACCCCCACCCCUUCCUUUUAUCACAGCAGCUAACUCGUUUCUAAAAUUAGAUUUUUAUCUUUUUUUAGUACAUGUUUUUG
Molecule: long non-coding RNA, 1631 nt
Organism: Astatotilapia calliptera (eastern happy)
Lineage: Eukaryota; Metazoa; Chordata; Actinopteri; Cichliformes; Cichlidae
Source: Ensembl